CCCGCGGGAGUCGCGGCGCUGCGGGUUGGACCCAGGUUGAAGGGGCCCCUAGGUUCCGUGGGGAGUCCGUGCCGGAGCGACGCCUGAGGCCUGCGAGCGAACUGGGCGGCGGCAUGCGGCGCCGCUGAGGGUGCUGCCGCGCGCGGUCCCAGGCCGCCCUGAGUCCUGAGCUAUUCGAAGGAGGAGCAGCGCCUGGGGCCGAGGAGCGGGGCAGACGCGGACGCUGCCGGAGCUCCAGCCGACGCGGCGUCUCCGGUCGUAGGUUGGCGCUUUGGGGUCGGGGACUGAAGCUUGGGCGCUGCCUGCCCAAGCGGAGAUCCGGGUUUGCCUCCCGCCCCCGCUCAGGACCCUGACGCGGGUGAGGCGGCCCCGGGAGCAUGAGCGGGCAGCGCGUGGACGUCAAGGUGGUGAUGCUGGGCAAGGAGUACGUGGGCAAAACGAGCCUGGUGGAACGAUACGUGCACGACCGCUUCCUGGUGGGGCCCUAUCAGAAUACCAUCGGGGCCGCCUUCGUGGCCAAGGUGAUGUCCGUUGGAGACCGGACGGUGACUUUAGGUAUUUGGGAUACAGCAGGCUCUGAGCGCUACGAGGCCAUGAGCCGAAUCUACUAUCGGGGCGCCAAGGCUGCCAUCGUCUGCUAUGACCUGACGGACAGCAGCAGUUUUGAGCGGGCAAAGUUCUGGGUGAAGGAACUGCGCAACCUAGAGGAGGGCUGUCAGAUCUACCUGUGUGGCACCAAGAGUGACCUGCUGGAAGAGGACAGGCGCCGCCGCCGUGUGGACUUCCAUGACGUCCAGGACUAUGCAGACAAUAUCAAAGCUCAGCUCUUUGAAACAUCCAGCAAGACAGGCCAGAGUGUGGACGAGCUCUUCCAGAAAGUGGCAGAGGACUACGUCAGUGUGGCUGCCUUCCAGGUGAUGACAGCAACUGCUGGCCCUGCUGCACUGGCCCUAGGAAGCUCAGCUGAGAGCUAACUGGCCACAGCCAACGAAAGUCCCAUGCAGCAGCUGCCUAGCUCUAAGUGAUCUGGAAUGGCUAACACAUGAAGCAGCCCAAGCAUUAUUUAGCAGGGAAAGGGGCUUGUGGCAGCUCCUUUCUUGCCAUGAUCUCAGGGGAAUCUGCCAGGACCAGACUUCCUUCCUGCCAUUCUGUUCUCAUGAUGUGACCUGGGAGUCCAGCUCCAGUGAGGAGAUGCUGCUGAGCCUGGGAAAGGAUCGCUGAUGCACUUCGUGCCCUGACUGUAGUGUGGGGUAGAGAAUGUGAAGAUAAAAUAAUUAUUUCCAUCAAUGCUAAAGAUGCAGGUUUGGUAGUUGUUCAAUUAAGAGGAUCAACACAGUGACUUAAAUCACCUCAAACUCAGUAACUUUUGGGGGAAGCAGACAUUUAAAAACUGGGAUCCUUCUGUAGCAAUGACAGUUAUUUUGCUAUUAGAAUGGGUUUACUCCAGCAGGAGAAGCAAA
Callorhinus ursinus (northern fur seal) is the source of this 1460-nucleotide RNA transcript. It is a transcript of the gene named RAB24, member RAS oncogene family, with no coding region annotated. Lineage: Eukaryota; Metazoa; Chordata; Mammalia; Carnivora; Otariidae. The record is from RefSeq and is a predicted model, not a curated record.